Molecule: ribosomal RNA, 497 nt
Filed under: uncultured bacterium
Lineage: Bacteria
Description: partial 16S ribosomal RNA
Rfam family: Bacterial small subunit ribosomal RNA
Source: RNAcentral
GAUGAACGCUGGCGGCGUGCCUAAUACAUGCAAGUCGAGCGAACGGACGAGAAGUUUGCUUCUCUGAUGUUAUCGGCGGACGGGUGAGUAACACGUGGUUAAACUAACUCUACGACUGGGAUACUUUCGGGAAACCGGAGCUACUACCGGAUAAUAUUUUGAACCGCAUGGUUCAAAAGUGAAAGACGGUCUUGCUGUCACUUAUAGAUGGACCCGCACUGCAUGAGCUAGUUGGUAAGGUAACGGCUUACCAAGGCAACGAUGCAUAGCCGACCUGAGAGGGUGAACGACUAGACUGGAACUGAGACACGUUCCAGACUCCGACGGGGGGCAGCAGUAGGGAAUCUUCCGCGAUGGACGAGAGCCUGACGGAGCAACGCCGCGUGAGUGAUGAAGGUCUUCGGAUCGGAGAACUCUGUUAUUAGGGAAGAACAUAUGUGUAAGUAACUGUGCACAUCUUGACGGUACCUAAUCAGAAAGCCACGGCUAACUACGUG